AUUUUUGUACAUAAUGGAC
RNAcentral lists this small nuclear RNA (19 nucleotides) under Arabidopsis thaliana (thale cress). RNAcentral describes it as "snRNA_14844". The record is from RNAcentral. Lineage: Eukaryota; Viridiplantae; Streptophyta; Magnoliopsida; Brassicales; Brassicaceae.